RNAcentral lists this long non-coding RNA (646 nucleotides) under Apteryx rowi (Okarito brown kiwi). Its description in RNAcentral is "lncRNA (ENSARWG00000002414.1)". Lineage: Eukaryota; Metazoa; Chordata; Aves; Apterygiformes; Apterygidae. The record is from RNAcentral.
AGCCCUUGAAACUCCAGGAAGAUUGCUGGUGGCUUGGAAGGCUUUGGAGCUGGCCUCUAGGACAGUCCAUGUCUUAAGACCAGUCCCAAUCAGUGUUGAGUGGGCAAAGGAGAGCCUCCUUUUAGCCAAGUACAGGAGGCUUACGGGCAGAAAGCAGCAUUGAGGUGACCAUUGCAGCUCUAUGCGUGUACGUUUGCAGUCUGCUGUUGCCAAGUGGACUUUUUGCCUCUCUGUGGGGAGCCAACGGAUGGGUGAAGGCAGCCAGCAAAAGAAGUGGGUUGGGGACAAGGAGAUAGCUGCCAUCUCCUUGCCAAUAUAGAAGUGGAGUGGCAGGAGCCAGCAGCUCUGCUGCUCCUGAGCUGCUGCUCAGAAAGAGGCCUGCCAGUGGGGAAAGUGCUAUUACCUUCAGCAGAAAAAGCAGCUGGGAUUCAAACCUGUCUCAAAAGUCCUUUAGGAGGGAGACGCUGCUCUGGUAGAAAGAAUUUGCCUCCUGCAGGCAAGCUGAGUAAAGAUGAGAGUUCUGGAAAAGCAUCUUCCGUGACUGAAUGCUGCAAGGGGCCCAGCUCUCAGUCCCUGUUCUGUGAGAUUGCCAGGCCAAGACACAGAUGCCAUGUUCAUGAAAUUGCGGAGCCCUGUCAUGUGAGUG